AAAACUUACCAAACAAGUUUCACAAGUAUAGUAUCUGUUCUUAGCAGUUUAAUAUCUGAUACAUUCUCUAUCCAAGGACAAUAUAUUAAAUGAAUUUUUGGAGCAGGAAGUUGGAAUAGGAGCUUGCUCCGUCCACUCCACGCAUCGACCUGGCAUUGCAAUACUUCCAGAAACAGUGCAUCCCCC
Small nuclear RNA from Bison bison bison, 186 nucleotides. Its record names the gene U2. It matches the Rfam family "U2 spliceosomal RNA". From Rfam's summary of the family: U2 is a small nuclear RNA (snRNA) component of the spliceosome (involved in pre-mRNA splicing). Complementary binding between U2 snRNA (in an area lying towards the 5' end but 3' to hairpin I) and the branchpoint sequence (BPS) of the intron results the bulging out of an unpaired adenosine, on the BPS, which initiates a nucleophilic attack at the intronic 5' splice site, thus starting the first of two transesterification reactions that mediate splicing. Lineage: Eukaryota; Metazoa; Chordata; Mammalia; Artiodactyla; Bovidae. The record is from Ensembl.